AAUCAACGCUGGCGGCGUGCCUAACACAUGCAAGUCGAACGCGAAAGCCCCUUCGGGGGUAAGUAGAGUGGCGUCCGGGUGAGUAACACGUGGGUAAUCUGCCUUCGGGUGGGGAAUAACUCAGGGAAACUUGAGCUAAUACCGCAUAAUGCAGCGGCACCUAAUGGUGAUUAGUUGUUAAAGCGGGGGAUCGCAAGACCUCGCGCCUGAAGAGGAGCCUGCGGCAGAUUAGCAGUUGAUGAGGUAAUGGCUCACCAAGGCUUCGAUCUGUAGCUGGUCUGAGAGGACGGCCAGCCACACUGGCACUGACACACGGGCCAGACUCCUACGGGAGGCAGCAGUGGGGAAUUUUGGGCAAUGGGCGAAAGCCUGACCCAGCAACGCCGCGUGAGGGAGGAAAUCCUUCGGGAUGUAAACCUCACAAGCAAGGGAAGAGAGCUACGGGCUGAAUAAUCCCGUAGUGCGGCGGUACCUUGCGUAAGCCACGGCUAACUACGUGCC
This 501-nucleotide ribosomal RNA is filed under the name uncultured bacterium. RNAcentral describes it as "bacterial SSU rRNA". It matches the Rfam family "Bacterial small subunit ribosomal RNA", at positions 32 to 509 of the family's 1533-position model. The record is from RNAcentral.